Molecule: long non-coding RNA, 664 nt
Organism: Centrocercus urophasianus (Greater sage-grouse)
Lineage: Eukaryota; Metazoa; Chordata; Aves; Galliformes; Phasianidae
Exons: 4
Source: RefSeq, a predicted model, not a curated record
CUCGGCGGCUCUCGGCGGGAGGCUGCGGCGGGGAGAAGCGGCCGGAGGAGAGGACGGAACCGGGCGGUCAAGAGCCGCAGCCGGACAUUUCAUCUGCAAGGAGGGACAUCAGAAAGGUUGUGCAUGCAGAAGAAAUGCAGUAUUACCUUCUCUAUGGAAGGGUGAGGUGGAUCAUACCGUCACGGAUAGAAUACUGGGAAAGGAGCUGGCUGGGAAAGCAUCAGCUGUAACACAGCCAAAAUACUUCUUCCCAUCCCAACACCUGGGAGAGGAAUGAACAGCAGGGGACAUGGGGCUCCUUCAGAUGAAUAGAGGUUUCUCCCGCAGAGAUAGCCCCGAAAAACUUCUGUCCGAUUGAUGACUAAAGGCAAAUGCAUGUCAGGAAGACGGGCAAAGAGAAGAAGGAAAAUCCCCGAAGUAUCCAAAGGGUCACUUACAGGAGGGAGUGUUUCGAAGGGCUCUCGAGGAGGGCAGCCAGAGCAGCACAUGAAAACCUGCAGCCAGGCGCUGUGCCCAGAAGCCGUGCCGCAGUGCCGUGCCCCCAGCCGGCUGUCAGAGCGAGGACCCGCCCCAGCGAGCUGGGGACAAACCUGCUUCAAGCCUGUCACCCUGCGUGCUUCAAAGCGAGGUGCGGCGGGGGCAGGGAGGGAGACAGAAAGCGAAG